RNAcentral lists this ribosomal RNA (253 nucleotides) under uncultured bacterium. RNAcentral describes it as "partial 16S ribosomal RNA". It matches the Rfam family "Bacterial small subunit ribosomal RNA", at positions 524 to 776 of the family's 1533-position model. The record is from RNAcentral.
UACGGGGGGGGCAAGCGUUGUUCGGAAUCAUUGGGCGUAAAGGGUGCGUAGGCGGCCAACUAAGUCAGACGUGAAAUCCCUCGGCUUAACCGGGGAACUGCGUCUGAUACUGGAUGGCUUGAGUUUGGGAGAGGGACGCGGAAUUCCAGGUGUAGCGGUGAAAUGCGUAGAUAUCUGGAGGAACACCGGUGGCGAAGGCGGCGUCCUGGACCAACACUGACACUGAUGAGCGAAAGCCAGGGGAGCAAACGGG